AAUGACACAGAGCACUGUGAUUGGAUGGAUUUGAAAUCCAUCCAAUCACAGUGCUCUGUGUCAUU
This is a non-coding RNA of Pelobates cultripes (western spadefoot toad), 65 nucleotides long. Lineage: Eukaryota; Metazoa; Chordata; Amphibia; Anura; Pelobatidae. The record is from the annotation of a GenBank genome assembly.